RNAcentral lists this long non-coding RNA (694 nucleotides) under Theobroma cacao (cacao). Its description in RNAcentral is "long non-coding RNA (TCAC_LNC000451)". Lineage: Eukaryota; Viridiplantae; Streptophyta; Magnoliopsida; Malvales; Malvaceae. The record is from RNAcentral.
AGGCAUUUAACCAAGUCUGCCAAGGUUGUUAAAAAUUUCGUAUACACAUAAACAUAAUUUUAGUUUGAAAAACACAGUCGUUCCUUGGCGUUAGCAGAGUUCCUCAUCACGAGGUGGUUUGACGUGACGUGAACUCUAACCAUACUUCAGGAGAUACCCUACGCUCGUCUCCGACCGAGGUACAUAUAUAACCAAAUUUCGUGUCCUUCUUAUAGGCUGGUCCACAGAACCCGCCCACUGCAGCAAGCUAAACCCACCAUACAAUAAAAUUUGCAAUAGCAUGACAUGACAAUUAUUUCACAAUCCAGCCUCUCAAGGCUAAAUUCAAAGUUAAUAUAUUUCAACACAAAUACCAAUUCACCCAUUCAUGCAAAUAUUGUCAUAAACCAUUCGAUUCAAACCAUGAAUUUACAACACAUGAAAAUAGUCUCCAAUUACUCUAUUUUCAAACCACCAUUCAAUUUCAAGACAAUGUUAUAAAAUUAUUUCAUUAAAUCACAUUUUAGUUACAAAACACAAAGAUUUACCAUUUAACUCAUUUUCCAUAAAAUUCACAAAAUUGAAUAAAAAGACCACUUUAGAUAAUUAAAAUGAUGAUAAGGUUACUCACUAUUUCGGGAGUCAAAUUUUUUUGAGUACUCCGACUAUCGAUCCUCGAGUACAAUUUCUUUGCCUUUAUCGGAGGAUUCACCAC